RNAcentral lists this ribosomal RNA (443 nucleotides) under uncultured bacterium. Its description in RNAcentral is "partial 16S ribosomal RNA". It matches the Rfam family "Bacterial small subunit ribosomal RNA", at positions 338 to 795 of the family's 1533-position model. The record is from RNAcentral.
GCUACGGGCGGCAGCAGUGGGGGAUAUUGGACAAUGGGGGGAACCCUGAUCCAGCGACGCCGCGUGAGUGAAGAAGUAUUUCGGUAUGUAAAGCUCUGUCAGCAGGGAAGAAAGAAAUGACGGUACCUGACCACGAAGCCCCGGCUAACUACGUGCCAGCAGCCGCGGUACUACGUAGGGGGCAAGCGUUAUCCGGAAUUACUGGGUGUAAAGGGAGCGUAGACGGUUAAGUAAGUCUGGAGUGAAAGGCCGGGGCUCAACCCCGGGACUGCUCUGGAAACUAUUUAACUUGAGUGCAGGAGAGGUAAGCGGAAUUCCUGGUGUAGCGGUGAAAUGCGUAGAUAUCAGGAGGAACACCGGCGGCGAAGGCGGCUUACUGGACUGUAACUGACGUUGAGGCUCGAAGGCGUGGGGAGCAAACAGGAUUAGAUACCCGGGUAGUC